RNAcentral lists this ribosomal RNA (504 nucleotides) under uncultured Sphingobacteriales bacterium. RNAcentral's name for it is "bacterial SSU rRNA". It matches the Rfam family "Bacterial small subunit ribosomal RNA", at positions 8 to 507 of the family's 1533-position model. Lineage: Bacteria; Pseudomonadati; Bacteroidota; Sphingobacteriia; Sphingobacteriales. The record is from RNAcentral.
AGAGUUUCGUAUCCUGGGCUCAGGGAUGAACGGCUAGCGGCAGGCCUAAUACAUGCAAGUCGGACGGUGCAGUAGCAAUGCUGCAGAGUGGCAAACGGGUGCGUAACGCGUAACAACCUGCCCCCAACUGGCGCAUAGCCCGGCGAAAGCUGGGGUAAUUCGCCAUGGUCCUGCCCCCUCACCUGGGGGGCGAAGUAAAGGCCUUCGGGCCGGUUGGGGAGGGGUUUGCGUCUGAUUAGGUAGUUGGGGGGGUAGCGGCCCACCAAGCCGAUGAUCAGUCGGGGCUCUGAGAGGAGGGUCCCCCACAUGGGCACUGCGACACGGGCCCAGCUCCUACGGGAGGCAGCAGUAGGGAAUAUUGGGCAAUGGCCGAGAGGCUGACCCAGCCAUGCCGCGUGCCGGACGAAGGCCCUCUGGGUUGUAAACGGCUUUUAUCCAGGAAGAAGAGUAGCGCUGCGGCGCUAUGUGACGGUACUGGAGGAAUCAGCACCGGCUAACUCCGUG